GAUUAAAGAGCUUGGUAAAAGCAUACAAUUUUUAAUUGUGAGAAAUCUUAUAAGGUUUUAAUCA
Molecule: transfer RNA, 64 nt
Filed under: Hirudo nipponia
Lineage: Eukaryota; Metazoa; Annelida; Clitellata; Hirudinida; Hirudinidae
Also listed under: 2 other names
Description: tRNA-Lys
Source: RNAcentral